Molecule: ribosomal RNA, 497 nt
Filed under: uncultured bacterium
Lineage: Bacteria
Description: partial 16S ribosomal RNA
Rfam family: Bacterial small subunit ribosomal RNA
Source: RNAcentral
GACGAACGCUGGCGGCGUGCCUAAUACAUGCAAGUUGAGCGCUGAAGGUUGGUACUUGUACCGACUGGAUGAGCAGCGAACGGGUGAGUAACGCGUGGGGAAUCUGCCUUUGAGCGGGGGACAACAUUUGGAAACGAAUGCUAAUACCGCAUAAAAACUUUAAACACAAGUUUUAAGUUUGAAAGAUGCAAUUGCAUCACUCAAAGAUGAUCCCGCGUUGUAUUAGCUAGUUGGUGAGGUAAAGGCUCACCAAGGCGAUGAUACAUAGCCGACCUGAGAGGGUGGUCGGCCACAUUGGGAAUGGGACACGGCCCAAACUCCUACGGGAGGCAGCAGUAGGGGAUCUUCGGCAAUGGACGAAAGUCUGACCGAGCAACGCCGCGUGAGUGAAGAAGGGUUUCGGAUCGUAAAACUCUGUUGGUAGAGAAGAACGUUGGUGAGAGUGGAAAGCUCAUCAAGUGACGGUAACUACCCAGAAAGGGACGGCUAACUACGUG